UGGGGGACAUGCACACUCCAGUGAGCACAUGACUGAGAUAGAAAUAGAGUCCGUGGUAAAUUAUCAAGCACUUUCACGUGACGUUCUUUUUUUUUCCCUUUAGUGUCGUGUUCGUUUUGGUUCUACUUUAACUAGAGGUAGACCCUGGCGUAACUUAAAUUUGAUUGAAACUUAUUGAGAGUGGUUAUCAGUCGACAGUGGUCUUGUGGAAUAUUAACUAUUAUUGUGUUAUCUCAAAACAUGGGGGUCUUAACUAUGGUUAACAAGUUCCAAAUGCUAUAGAAGGCUUUAAAUUUAUGCUAAUAAACUUACCAAAAUUAUCUUCCUCCACCAGCAUGUCAAUACUAGCAGAUGAUGGACUUUCUGUGUGUAUAUGAUAGUAGAGAAAUUAUGUCUGACACAAAAUAACACGAUAAUUUUAACAUUUACUUAAGUUUGAAGAACAGACAGAGUCAGCAUCCAUCAAAACUUCAUAGGAUCAAGUUUCAUUAAUUCAUAGCUGAUUGCAAGAAAUAUGCAACACUGGCCAAGAAAUUACGAACGAUGUACAGCAAUAUGAAUCAAUGGAUCGUCUACUGUAUCUACUAUCCAUAGCCUUAUUGAAUUAAAUUAACAUGCAAAAACAAUUUUUACACUAGCUCUAGAUCUAUAGAUGUUAUUUUUUUUAUUUUUAAUGCCAUUAUAUUCUAUUCUUAUUUAAUGUGUUACUCUUUUUGUCAUGUAAAUGAAAAUAAAUAUAUAAAAUAUUGUUAAUUUCAUACUUUUUACAAUUAUUAUUUGAUGGAUUAAAGGACGAAAUGACCAACGGAUGAAAUGAUCAGGGGAUGAAAUGACUGGGAAAAAGUUUCACUACUUUAUUAAGUAUAACAAGAUAUGAAUAAAACAAUAUAAAUCUUCUUUUAUACUGCUACAGCUAUAGGUUAUUCAUUAAAAUCAAAAAAAAUUCCAGGUAUUAAUUUUAAAAAGUUUAGAUAUUUUAUGUUAAUAAAAUUGUAUUUAGUUAAGAAUGAACAAAUAUAAUUAAGUACAGCAGAGUUAAAAUAUGUGUAUAGUUUAGAUUUCGAGAAUUUUUAUUUAAUUUGAAAAAAAUAGUUUGACUUCAUGCAAAAAGAAACUUUUUCAUUUUAACAUAAUACACCAUGUUUACCUUUUAUAUUUUGUUUGCCCUGUUCAACUUUGACUAUGCUUCCAUUUAUUGG
This is a long non-coding RNA of Biomphalaria glabrata, 1199 nucleotides long. RefSeq lists it as uncharacterized. The transcript is spliced from 3 exons. The record is from RefSeq and is a predicted model, not a curated record. Lineage: Eukaryota; Metazoa; Mollusca; Gastropoda; Planorbidae.